This 246-nucleotide unclassified non-coding RNA is filed under the name Melitaea cinxia (Glanville fritillary). RNAcentral's name for it is "misc RNA ENSMCXG00005001453.1". The record is from RNAcentral. Lineage: Eukaryota; Metazoa; Arthropoda; Insecta; Lepidoptera; Nymphalidae.
CAACAAAAAAAGAAUUAUCAAAAUCGGUACAUCCAGUAAAAAAUUAUGUGGUAUAAUACAACGUAGGUCGACGAAAAAAGCGUCAAGUAAAAACGCAUUAUUAGAUAUAACUUGAAAAGUAGUUGUUAGAUCUCAAAUAAAUUUAAAUGGGACCAAUUGGCACACAAAACCUUUCGAUUAAAACAAAAUUUGUCGAAAUCGGUCCACACGGGCAAAAGUUCUGAUGUAACAUUCAUAAAAAAAAAA